This 1275-nucleotide ribosomal RNA is filed under the name uncultured bacterium. RNAcentral's name for it is "partial 16S ribosomal RNA". It matches the Rfam family "Bacterial small subunit ribosomal RNA", at positions 28 to 1310 of the family's 1533-position model. The record is from RNAcentral.
GACGAACGCUGGCGGCGUGCUUAACACAUGCAAGUCGAACGGAAAGGCCCUGCUUUUGUGGGGUGCUCGAGUGGCGAACGGGUGAGUAACACGUGAGUAACCUGCCCUUGACUUUGGGAUAACUUCAGGAAACUGGGGCUAAUACCGGAUAGGAGCUCCUGCUGCAUGGUGGGGGUUGGAAAGUUUCGGCGGUUGGGGAUGGACUCGCGGCUUAUCAGCUUGUUGGUGGGGUAGUGGCUUACCAAGGCUUUGACGGGUAGCCGGCCUGAGAGGGUGACCGGCCACAUUGGGACUGAGAUACGGCCCAGACUCCUACGGGAGGCAGCAGUGGGGAAUAUUGCACAAUGGGCGGAAGCCUGAUGCAGCAACGCCGCGUGCGGGAUGACGGCCUUCGGGUUGUAAACCGCUUUCGCCUGUGACGAAGCGUGAGUGACGGUAAUGGGUAAAGAAGCACCGGCUAACUACGUGCCAGCAGCCGCGGUGAUACGUAGGGUGCGAGCGUUGUCCCGGAUUUAUUGGGCGUAAAGGGCUCGUAGGUGGUUGAUCGCGUCGGAAGUGUAAUCUUGGGGCUUAACCCUGAGCGUGCUUUCGAUACGGGUUGACUUGAGGAAGGUAGGGGAGAAUGGAAUUCCUGGUGGAGCGGUGGAAUGCGCAGAUAUCAGGAGGAACACCAGUGGCGAAGGCGGUUCUCUGGGCCUUUCCUGACGCUGAGGAGCGAAAGCGUGGGGAGCGAACAGGCUUAGAUACCCUGGUAGUCCACGCUGUAAACGGUGGGUACUAGGUGUGGGGUCCAUUCCACGGAAUCCGUGCCGUAGCUAACGCUUUAAGUACCCCGCCUGGGGAGUACGGCCGCAAGGCUAAAACUCAAAGGAAUUGACGGGGCCCCGCACAAGCGGCGGAGCAUGCGGAUUAAUUCGAUGCAACGCGUAGAACCUUACCUGGGUUUGACAUGGAUCGGGAGUGCUCAGAGAUGGGUGUACCUCUUUUGGGGUCGGUUCACAGGUGGUGCAUGGCUGUCGUCAGCUAGUGUCGUGAGAUGUUGGGUUAAGUCCCGCAACGAGCGCAACCCUUGUUCACUGUUGCCAGCACGUUAUGGUGGGGACUCAGUGGAGACCGCCGGGGUCAACUCGGAGGAAGGUGGGGAUGACGUCAAGUCAUCAUGCCCCUUAUGUCCAGGGCUUCACGCAUGCUACAAUGGCUGGUACAGAGAGUGGCGAGCCUGUGAGGGUGAGCGAAUCUCGGAAAGCCGGUCUCAGUUCGGAUUGGGGUCUGCAA